GACGAACGCUGGCGGCGUGCCUAAUACAUGCAAGUAGAACGCUGAAGCUUGGUGCUUGCACCGAGCGGAUGAGUUGCGAACGGGUGAGUAACGCGUAGGUAACCUGCCUGGUAGCGGGGGAUAACUAUUGGAAACGAUAGCUAAUACCGCAUAAUAGUAGAUGUUGCAUGACAUUUGCUUAAAAGGUGCAAUUGCAUCACUACCAGAUGGACCUGCGUUGUAUUAGCUAGUUGGUGAGGUAACGGCUCACCAAGGCGACGAUACAUAGCCGACCUGAGAGGGUGAUCGGCCACACUGGGACUGAGACACGGCCCAGACUCCUACGGGAGGCAGCAGUAGGGAAUCUUCGGCAAUGGACGGAAGUCUGACCGAGCAACGCCGCGUGAGUGAAGAAGGUUUUCGGAUCGUAAAGCUCUGUUGUAAGAGAAGAACGAG
This 435-nucleotide ribosomal RNA is filed under the name Streptococcus oralis. Its description in RNAcentral is "bacterial SSU rRNA". It matches the Rfam family "Bacterial small subunit ribosomal RNA", at positions 28 to 453 of the family's 1533-position model. The record is from RNAcentral. Lineage: Bacteria; Bacillati; Bacillota; Bacilli; Lactobacillales; Streptococcaceae.